Molecule: RNA transcript, 4821 nt
Organism: Brassica rapa (field mustard)
Lineage: Eukaryota; Viridiplantae; Streptophyta; Magnoliopsida; Brassicales; Brassicaceae
Gene name: ABC transporter G family member 33
Source: RefSeq, a predicted model, not a curated record
AGAAUAAAAUUCCAACCACAUGAAAGCAACAUCAGGCAUCCACCUUUAGAUAGAGGCAAACACACCAUGUCAUAUAUCACCUACUGAGAUUGCUAGGAUUUGAAGUUAUCCAUAAAAUAUGAUGAAACUAUCAACUAAUAGUAGUUCAUUUUUGAAAUAUGAAACUUACAUUAAUUUACUUUUAGUGGCUUAUAGAUUACCAGUAUAACUGAAUCAAAGUGUUUGCUAAUCUCACUUUCAGUAAAUAAAAGGAACUUCAAUACAAGCUGGUUGUGUCUUAUAAUAUAUUUUUCAUUAGAACUUUUUAACACCUUUAUAUCUUCCACCACCUCACUAUUCUAAGUCUGAAAAGUACAAUUACAUAUGUAUUAUUAAUAGAAUAAAAAGGUAUACCUCAUAUUUGAUCAGAAAACUUGGGACUCUUUGAGGCUUGACUCAGAUGGGUGGAGAAGAAAUGAGAGUGGAGCUUUCAGAGAUUGGAAGAAAUAUGGGAACUAGUUUCAGGAGAAGCUCUUCAAGAAGUGAGCCUGAGGAUGAGGCAGAGUAUGCUCUCCAAUGGGCUGAGAUCCAGAGAUUGCCAACUUUUGAGCGGCUGAGAUCAUCUCUGGUCGAUGAAGAAGGUGAGUCUGAGGAGAAUGGGAAGAGGGUGGCUGAUGUCACCAAGCUAGGAGCCAUGGAACGUCAUCUGAUGAUUGAGAAGCUGAUCAAACACAUUGAGAAUGAUAAUCUCAAGCUGCUCAAGAAGAUCAGAAAAAGAAUAGACAGGGUUGGGGUGGAGUUUCCGAGCAUAGAAGUGAGGUAUGAGAAUUUAAGUGUUGAAGCUGAGUGCGAGGUCGUUGAAGGGAAGGCGCUUCCAACUUUAUGGAACUCCUUGAAGCACGUUUUCAUAGAACUGGUGAAGCUGAGUGGUGUAAGAACACAAGAAGCCAAGAUAAGCAUACUUAAUGAUGUUAGCGGCAUCAUUAACCCGGGGAGGCUAACACUGCUGCUAGGUCCUCCUGGAUGUGGGAAAACUACUUUGCUUAAGGCUUUGUCUGGAAACUUAGACAAAAAUCUUAAGGUUUCUGGUGAAAUAUCCUACAAUGGACAAGGGCUGAACAAGUUUGUUCCUCAGAAAACAUCAGCAUACAUAAGUCAAAACGAUCUGCACAUUGCAGAGAUGACAGUGAGGGAGACAAUUGACUUCUCAGCUCGUUGUCAAGGUGUUGCUAGCCGAACAGAUAUUAUGAUGGAGGUCAUUAAAAGAGAAAAGGAUGGUGGAAUCAUUCCUGACCCUGAAGUAGAUGCUUACAUGAAGGCAAUAUCGGUUGAAGGACUUAAAAGAAGUCUACAAACAGAUUACAUCUUGAAGAUCCUAGGGCUUGACAUUUGUGCAGAAACAUUGUUUGGUAAUGCAAUGAGAAGAGGCAUAUCCGGAGGGCAAAAGAAACGUCUUACAACAGCUGAGAUGAUCGUUGGUCCAACAAAAGCUCUCUUCAUGGAUGAAAUAACAAAUGGCUUAGACAGCUCCACCGCUCUUCAGAUUGUUAAGUCUCUUCAGCAGCUAGCUCACAUUACCAAUGCAACAGUGCUUGUUUCACUUCUUCAACCUGCUCCAGAAUCAUAUGACCUCUUUGAUGAUAUUGUGCUGAUGGAUCAAGGAAUAAUAGUGUACCACGGUCCAAGAGACCAGGUCUUAAGCUUUUUUGAGGAAUGUGGAUUUAGAUGCCCGGAAAGGAAAGGUGUUGCAGACUUUCUACAAGAGGUUAUAUCUAGAAAGGACCAAGGACAGUACUGGCUGCACCAGGCCUUGCCUUAUAGCUUUGUCUCUGUCGAAACGUUUUCAAAGAGAUUCAAGGACUUAGAGAUUGGGAGAAAGCUUGAGGAAGCUCUCUCUAAGCCAUAUGAUAGAUCAAAACACCAGAAUGAUUCUCUUUCUUUCAAUGCAUACUCUCUUCCAAACUGGGAGCUGUUCAGAGCAUGCCUCUCAAGAGAGUUUCUUCUCAUGAAGAGAAACUACUUUGUCUACCUCUUUGACACGUUUCUGCUUCUUCUGUCUGCAAUCCUCACUAUGACUGUGUUUAUUCGAACACGGAUGGGCGUAGACAUCGUUCAUGGAAACUCUUACAUGAGCUGCCUCUUUUUCGCAACCGUUGUGCUUCUGGUUAAUGGUGCUCCAGAGCUUAAUAUGACUGUUGAACGCCUUGCCGUGUUUUACAAGCAAAAGCAACUUUGUUUCUAUCCAGCUUGGGCUUAUGCAAUCCCAGCAACAGUGUUGAAGGUCCCCCUCUCUUUCUUUCAGUCUCUAGUUUGGACUUGUCUCACUUACUAUGUCAUCGGAUACACUCCUAAAGCCUCCAGGUUCUUAAGGCAGUUCAUUAUGCUAUUUGCUGUUCACUUCACAACGAUAUCUAUGUUCCGGUGUAUAGCUGGAAUCUUUCAGACAGGAGUUGCUUCAAUGGCAGCUGGUGGUUUUGCUGUGUUAAUCACCUUUGUAUUUGCCGGUUUCGCCAUCCCAUAUACUGAUAUGCCAGGGUGGUUGAAGUGGGGUUUCUGGGUGAAUCCUAUAAGUUAUGCUGAGAUUGGACUCUCUGUGAACGAGUUUCAUGCUCCAAGAUGGCAGCAAAUGCUACCUACAAAUGUUACACUGGGGAGAACCAUACUCGAAAGCCGAGGACUGAACUAUGAUGAUUACAUGUAUUGGGUCUGCUUAUCUGCAUUGUUUGGUCUAGCCCUUAUCUAUAACACCAUUUUCACUCUUGCUUUGAGUUUCUUGAAAUCUCCAACGUCAUCUCGUGCCAUGAUUUCCCAUGACAAGCUCUCUGAGCUGCAAGGAACAAAAGAUUCAUCAGACAAGAAGCAAAACAAGUCAACAGAGAGAAAAGAGGAUUCAGGGAAGAUGGUGUUACCUUUUAAGCCACUCACCAUAACAUUUCAAGACUUGAACUAUUACGUCGACGUUCCUAUGGAGAUGAGAGGUCAAGGGUACACUGAGAAGAAACUUCAGCUUCUCUCAAACAUCACCGGAGCUUUCAGGCCCGGCGUUCUAACGGCAUUGAUGGGAAUCAGUGGAGCCGGAAAAACAACUCUACUGGACGUUCUCGCCGGAAGAAAAACAAGCGGAUACAUCGAAGGAGACAUCAAGAUCAGUGGAUACCGUAAGGUCCAAGAAACGUUUGCAAGAGUUUCAGGCUACUGCGAGCAAACGGAUAUACACUCACCGAACAUCACAGUCGAAGAGUCUCUCAUUUACUCAGCUUGGCUCCGUCUAGUUCCAGAAAUAGAACCUGAAACCAAAAUAAGAUUCGUGAAGCAAGUUCUGGAGACGAUCGAGCUGGAGGAGAUCAAGGACGCGAUGGUGGGAGUCGCCGGCCAGAGCGGACUGUCGACGGAGCAGAGGAAGCGUUUGACGGUGGCGGUGGAGUUGGUGGCGAACCCCUCCAUCAUAUUCAUGGACGAACCAACGACGGGGCUAGACGCAAGAGCAGCCGCCAUAGUGAUGAGAGCUGUGAAGAACGUAGCUGACACUGGACGAACCAUCGUCUGCACUAUUCAUCAGCCCAGCAUUGACAUCUUCGAAGCUUUCGAUGAGUUGGUGCUUCUGAAGACAGGAGGUCGUAUGAUUUAUACUGGACCUCUUGGACAACAUUCUUCUCAUGUUAUUAAAUAUUUUGAGAGUAUCCAUGGAGUUGCUAAGAUUAAAGACAACUACAAUCCCGCAACAUGGAUGCUAGAAGUUACUUCACAGUCCAUAGAGACUGAACUCAACAUUGAUUUCGCUAAAAUCUACAACGACUCAGAUCUCUACACAACCAACUCCGAACUUGUUAAAGAGCUGAGCAAACCGGAUCCCGGGUCAACCGACUUGCAUUUCAACAGAACCUUUGCGCAGAGCUGGUGGGAACAGUUCAAAUCUUGUCUAUGGAAGAUGAGCUUGUCUUACUGGAGAAGCCCUUCUUACAACCUGAUGCGAAUCUUUCACACUUUAUUCUCCUCUUUGAUAUUUGGUCUACUCUUCUGGAAGCAAGGCCACAAGAUAGAUACUCAACAGAACUUGUUCACAGUCCUCGGAGCUAUCUACGGUCUUGUCCUCUUCUUGGGAGUAAACAACUGCGCCACAGCGUUACAGUAUUUUGAGACAGAACGUAAUGUUAUGUACCGCGAAAGAUUCGCGGGAAUGUACUCUGCCUUUGCCUACGCAUUGGCUCAGCUUGUGACCGAGGUUCCUUACAUAUUCAUCCAAAGCGCAGAGUUUGUGAUCAUAAUAUAUCCAAUGAUCGGUUUCUACGCUUCUUACUCUAAAGUCCUUUGGUGUCUCUACUCAAUGUUCUGCAACUUGCUAUGCUUCAACUACGUCGCCUUGUUCCUCAUCUCCGUGACUCCGAACUUCAUGGUCGCAGCUAUUCUCCAGUCUCUUUUCUUCGUUGCUUUCAACCUUUUUGCUGGUUUCUUGAUUCCAAAACCGCAAAUACCAAAGUGGUGGGUGUGGCUUUACUAUCUAACCCCAACCUCUUGGACUCUCAACGUGUUCUUCACGUCUCAGUACGGUGAUAUUCAUGAAGAGAUCAAUGCCUUUGGCGAAUCCACGACCGUUGCAAGGUUCUUAGAGGAGUAUUUUGGGUUUCAUCAUGACCGUUUGGUGAUUACAGCCAUUGUUCUUAUUGCGUUUCCAGUUGCAUUGGCUUCUAUGUUUGCCUUUUUUGUUGCCAAACUCAACUUUCAAAAACGUUGAUGGAUCACACACAAAAGACCACAAGGAUAUGUCAACAAUGAACUAUACUAUUAUGCCAACAAGAAGAUAUUUUAGCAGAGUGUUAAACUAUUCUAGUCAAAAUUAAUAAA